Molecule: long non-coding RNA, 1817 nt
Organism: Chelonia mydas (Green sea turtle)
Lineage: Eukaryota; Metazoa; Chordata; Testudines; Cheloniidae
Exons: 4
Source: RefSeq, a predicted model, not a curated record
CAGAGUAGCCAGGGGCUGGGAAAGGCUGAAGUUACUCCCUGGGAGGAAGGAGUUGGUGAACCCAGAGAGGGGGAAAGUGUUAGAUGGUAAGGGAAGGGCACAGGGAAAGUAAGGUCUAGAAGUGAAUGGGCCUUGGCUGCUGUGUAGAGAGGGUGGGCCUGGUUUUCCUGUGGACAUGACGCCAUGGGGCAGUGAGUGGGAAGCCUGACUAAGACUGAGGAUGUGGCCCCAUGAGGCAGUGCAUGGGAAGGGUGCCAAAGAUUGCUGAGGAAAGACUAAAGGGGAAAACCUGUUUCGUGACCUGGCCAGAGGGCCGAGUCAUGAAGAGGCAGCAGCCCGAGAGGAGCUGGAGACGGAGAGAGGGGCAGAGAGAUGGCGUGUGUGGGAAGGGAUGUUGACAUCGUGAAGCUAAGCCCCAGAAUGGGCAGGAGGCGGCGCCAUCCAAGCGGCAUAUUGUCCACUUCUUGACCAAGUGUUGGGUCCUUGCUUCAUCAUCUCUGAGACAGACUCUGGCAACACAGUGCCUCCUAAUGAGAACCAUGAAAAAUGUCUGUAAUGAAAUCCAAGACCUGGAAAAAUUUCAAGAGCGGGAAGAGCUUCCCAAGCAUUCAGUUCAGCAUUGGCUGUGAGAAUGCAUCAUCAGAAUACCACCGUCAUUAACAAAAACUUGCAGAUACAGGAGAGAUGGAGCGACAUUGCUGAUCUCAAUUUCCAGACUGAGCACUCUUGGCUUGAUGAGUAAACUGGAUUUCUAAUAGCAUUGAUGGUUUCACUCGCAUUCCCUGGAGAAAAGUUAUCGAGCAUCCUCAAACUCUCCUGGUGAUCAGUUAUGAAGAAUGGUAUUUACAAAGAGAUUCUUGAGUAGAAUAGAUGGGCUCCAUGAAGCAGCGUGUACUGACACCCCCACGGAAGCUGGCCCCAUUUUUCUCGUGGAAGGAAAUAAUUGAUCAGCAAUAGCUUCCUCCACUGCAGAAGACUUUAGUGCACUGACAGACAAAUCCCUUCCCCACUCUACUCAUCGAUGUGUGCUCUCUCUCGCAAUGAAGCUUCUCUGAGUAAAGAGCGACUAUAAAAUAACGAGGACUGCUGUCCAUCAAUUCUUAGCGGCAGGUCAGGAGAGAGGUGAGCUUGCAGCAUUCGGAUAAAAUCUUUUGAGAGAGAAAUCAUAAUGGGGGUGAAGUGCAAUAAAUAAAAAAUGAAGACAGGCGACACAAUGGAAAGGGAGCAUGACAAAAAGGGAAUAAAAUCAAUGAGGUGAAUAUGGCUGAGCCACUCAGUAAUAGUGACCAUAAUGUCAUUAAAUUUAUCAUCGGGGGGAGGAUAAUAAAAAACAACCCCUGCAGUAGCAUUUAACUUCAAAAAGGGAAACCACACAAAAAUGAGGAAGCUAGUUAAACAAAAAAUAAAAGGAACAGUCAUGAGUGAAAGGCCUGCAAGCUGCAUGAAAACUUUACAAAAAAGUAAUAGAGGGUGAAACUAAUAUAUAUCAUCUACCCCCAGCAAAAAAAACUCCAAAACAGUAGGACAAAAAAAAAAAAAUUUCCACCAUGGCUAAAAAUCAGUAAAAGUGGCAGAGACAAAAAGACAUCUUUUAAAAAUUGGAAGUCAAACUCUGAGGAAAAUAGAAAGGAACAUAAACUCUGGCAAGUCAAGUGUAAAAGUACAAUUAGGCCAAUAAUCAGGCAUAAAGGAUCCUUAAAUUGCUUGCCCAUCUCCUGACUUCUCCCAUUUGCUUGGUAUAAUGUCCUUCAUGAGAGAGGGUUAGCAGUGCACUCCAGAGUUAAUGUCACAACUCUCAUCUAUUCCAGUCUUUCUGU